CCCGCUUAGUUUAAGCAUAUCAAUAAGCGGAGGAAAAGAAACUUACCAGGAUUCUCCUAGUAACGGGGAGCGAAUGGGGAAUAGCCUAGCUUGAGAAUCGGGUGCCCUCGGCGUUUGAAUUGUAGUCUCGAGAAGCGUCCUCAGCGGUGGAUCGGGCCCAAGUCCCUUGGAAGGGGGCGCUAGAGAGGGUGAGAGCCCCGUCAUGCCCGAACCAUGUCGCACCAUGAGGCGUUGUCUACGAGUCAGAUUGUUUGGGAAUGCAGCCUAAAUUGAGCGGUAAAUUCCGUCCAAGGCUAAAUACAGGCGAGAGACCGAUAGCGAACAAGUACCACGAGGGAAAGAUGAAAAGGACUUUGAAAAGAGAGUCAAAGAGUGCUUGAAAUUUUCGGGAGGGAAGCAGAUGGGUGCUGGCGAUGCGCCCCGGUCGAAUGUGGAACAGCCAAAAGCUAGUCUGCCGAUCGGCUCGGGUUGCGGACCGACGCGGAUUGCAGCGGCAGCCCAAGCCCAGGCUUUUGAAACGCCUGCGGAGAUGUCGUCGCAGUGAUUGUAAACUGCAGGUCACACCGUCACGGCGUGCUUUGGCACCUGCGCGCUCUGUGCAUCGGCCAGCGAGCUCGCCAUUCGGCCUGUCUUGAAACACGGACCAAGGAGUCUGACAUGUAUGCGAGUGAACGGGCGAGUAAACCCAUAAGGCGUAAGGAAGCUGACUCGUGGGAUCCCCUUGUGGGUUGCACCGCCGACCAACCUUGAUCUUCUGAGAAGGGUUCGAGUGAGAGCAUGCGUGUCGGGACCUGAAAGAUGCUGAACUAUGUCUGAGCAGGGCGAAGCCAGAGGAAACUCUAGUGGAGGCCCGCAGCGAUACUGACGUGCAAAUCGUUCAUCUGACUUGGGUAUAGGGGCGAAAGACUAAUCGAACCAUCUAGUAGCUGGUUCCCUCUGAAGUAUCCCUCAGGAUAGCUGGAGCUCGGGACGAGUUCUAUCGGGUAAAGCCAAUGAUUAGAGGCAUCGGGGGUGCAACGCCCUCGACCUAUUCUCAAACUUUAAAUAGGUAAGACGGCAUGACUGCUUCCUUAAGCCGAGCCACGGAAUCGAGAGCUCCAAGUGGGCCAUUUUUGGUAAGUAGAACUGGUGAUGCGGGAUGAACCGAAAGUCGGGUUAUGGUGCCCAACUGCGCGCUAACCUAGAACCCACGAAGGGUGUUGGUCGAUUAAGACAGCAGGACAAUGGUAAGGAGUGUGUAAUAACACACCUGCCGAAUCAACUAGCCUUGAUAAUGGAUGGCGCUUAAGCGCGCGACCUAUACCCGGCCGUUGGGGCAAAAGGCAGGCCCCAAUGAGUAGGAGGGUGCGACGGUCGCUGCAAAACCCAAGGUGUGAGCCCGGGCGGAGCAGCCGUCAGUGCAGAUCUUGGUGGUAGUAGCAAAUAUUCAAAUAAGAACUUUGAAGGUCGAAGAGAGGAAAGAUUCCAUGUGAACGGCACUUGCACAUGGGUUAGUCGAUUCUAAGAGACGGGGGAAGCCCGUUCGACAGAGCGUCCGGUCGCGAACUUUGAAAGGGAAUCGGGUUAAAAUUCCCGAACCGGGAUAUGGCGGCUGACGGCAACGUUAGGGAGUCCGGAGACGUCGGCGGAGGCCUCGGGAAGAGUUAUCUUUUCUAUUUAAUAGCCCGCCCACCCUGGAAACGACUCAGUCGGAGGUAGGGUCCAGCGGCUGGAAGAGCACCACACGUCAUGCGGUGUCCGGUGCGCCCUCGGCAGCCCAUGAAAAUCUGGAGGAACGAGUGCCAUCCACGCUCGGUCGUACUCAUAACCACAUCAAAUCUCCAAAGUGAACAGCCUCUGGUC
This 1842-nucleotide non-coding RNA is filed under the name Ricinus communis (castor bean). RNAcentral's name for it is "Eukaryotic large subunit ribosomal RNA". It matches the Rfam family "Eukaryotic large subunit ribosomal RNA", at positions 24 to 1888 of the family's 3401-position model. Lineage: Eukaryota; Viridiplantae; Streptophyta; Magnoliopsida; Malpighiales; Euphorbiaceae. The record is from Rfam by way of RNAcentral.